Molecule: ribosomal RNA, 254 nt
Filed under: uncultured bacterium
Lineage: Bacteria
Description: partial 16S ribosomal RNA
Rfam family: Bacterial small subunit ribosomal RNA
Source: RNAcentral
UACGGGGGGAGCAAGCGUUGUUCGGAUUUACUGGGCGUAAAGGGCGCGUAGGCGGCCAGCACAAGUCAGUUGUGAAAUCUCCGAGCUUAACUCGGAAAGGUCAACUGAUACUGUGCGGCUAGAGUGCAGAAGGGGCAACUGGAAUUCUUGGUGUAGCGGUGAAAUGCGUAGAUAUCAAGAGGAACACCUGCGGCGAAGGCGGGUUGCUGGGCUGACACUGGCGCUGAGGCGCGAAAGCUAGGGGAGCGAACGGG